UACGUAGGGUGCAAGCGUUGUCCGGAAUUAUUGGGCGUAAAGAGCUCGUAGGCGGUCUGUUGCGUCCGCUGUGAAAACUCGGGGCUUAACCCCGAGCCUGCAGUGGAUACGGGCAGACUAGAGGUAGGUAGGGGAGAAUGGAAUUCCCGGUGUAGCGGUGAAAUGCGCAGAUAUCGGGAGGAACACCGGUGGCGAAGGCGGGUCUCUGGACAGUUCCUGACACUGAGGCACGAAGGCCAGGGGAGCAAACGGG
RNAcentral lists this ribosomal RNA (253 nucleotides) under uncultured bacterium. Its description in RNAcentral is "partial 16S ribosomal RNA". It matches the Rfam family "Bacterial small subunit ribosomal RNA", at positions 524 to 776 of the family's 1533-position model. The record is from RNAcentral.